AAGGAAAAGUCAUCCUAUGGAUUUAUUCAUUACUUCGAUCGCAGAUCAGCUGCUCUUGCUAUAUUAUCUCUUAAUGGAAGGCAUUUAUUCGGGCAGCCUAUCAAAGUUAAUUGGGCAUAUGCUAGUAGUCAGCGGGAAGAUACAUCAGGUCAUUACAACAUUUUUGUUGGAGAUCUUAGUCCUGAGGUUACUGAUGCAACUCUUUUUGCCUGCUUUUCAGUUUAUGCCAGUUGUUCGUAAGGCUUUUCCCUCCCUUCGAUAUUUGUGUGCUUGAUGGGCUAAUUUAGCAUUUUGAAUUUAUGAAGUUCUGAAAAAAAUAUUAUAUGAUUCUAAUUGGUGUUCAAAGUGGAGGACCAUCCCUGACUUUGUGCUGGUUUCAGAGAUGCAAGGGUUAUGUGGGAUCAGAAGACUGGGCGUUCAAGAGGUUUUGGGUUUGUCUCUUUCCGGAAUCAACAGGAAGCCCAAAGUGCGAUAAAUGACUUAACAGGGAAGUGG
RNAcentral lists this unclassified non-coding RNA (495 nucleotides) under Hevea brasiliensis (rubber tree). The record is from RNAcentral. Lineage: Eukaryota; Viridiplantae; Streptophyta; Magnoliopsida; Malpighiales; Euphorbiaceae.